CCUACGGGAGGCAGCAGUGGGGAAUCUUGCGCAAUGGGCGAAAGCCUGACGCAGCAACGCCGCGUGAGGGACGAAGGUUUUCUGAAUUGUAAACCUCUUUCAGCAGGGAAGAUAAUGACGGUACCUGCAGAAGAAGCACCGGCUAACUACGUGCCAGCAGCCGCGGUGAUACGUAGGGUGCAAGCGUUGUCCGGAUUUAUUGGGCGUAAAGAGCUCGUAGGCGGUUUGGUAAGUCGGUUGUGAAAUCCCCAGGCUCAACCUGGGGCCUGCAUUCGAUACUGCCAUGACUAGAGUUUGGUAGGGGACCACGGAAUUCCUGGUGUAGCGGUGGAAUGCGCAGAUAUCAGGAGGAACACCAGUAGCGAAGGCGGUGGUCUGGGCCAAUACUGACGCUGAGGAGCGAAAGCGUGGGGAGCAAACAGGAUUAGAUACCCUGGUAGUCCCACGACCGUAACGGUAGGGCGACGUAGGUGUGGGUACGUAUUACUACGGUUACCGUCGCCGACCGCGUACGACAUAGUACGCCCGCCCGUCGGGUAGGUACGGCCGCCGACGGACGUAAACCGUACGAAACGGAAGUUAGUAACGGUCGUGUUAGACGUGCCGAACGGACGACGACGAGGGAGGAGG
This 630-nucleotide ribosomal RNA is filed under the name uncultured bacterium. RNAcentral's name for it is "bacterial SSU rRNA". The stretch from base 1 to 530 matches the Rfam family "Bacterial small subunit ribosomal RNA", at positions 338 to 873 of the family's 1533-position model. The record is from RNAcentral.